This is a non-coding RNA of Dipodomys ordii (Ord's kangaroo rat), 65 nucleotides long. NCBI's taxonomy places the organism in Eukaryota, Metazoa, Chordata, Mammalia, Rodentia, Heteromyidae. The record is from Rfam.
GGUGGCUCAGUGGUAGAGUGCUUGCCUUGUGAGCAUGAGGCCCUGGGUUCGAUUCCUCAGCACCA